CGUGGGAACGUGCCUUUAGGUUCGGAAUAGCUCCUGGAAACGGGUGGUAAUGCCGAAUGUGCCCUUCGGGGGAAAGAUUUAUCGCCUUUAGAGCGGCCCGCGUCUGAUUAGCUAGUUGGUGAGGUAACGGCUCACCAAGGCGACGAUCAGUAGCUGGUCUGAGAGGAUGACCAGCCACACUGGGACUGAGACACGGCCCAGACUCCUACGGGAGGCAGCAGUGGGGAAUCUUGCGCAAUGGGCGAAAGCCUGACGCAGCCAUGCCGCGUGAAUGAUGAAGGUCUUAGGAUUGUAAAAUUCUUUCACCGGGGACGAUAAUGACGGUACCCGGAGAAGAAGCCCCGGCUAACUUCGUGCCAGCAGCCGCGGUAAUACGAAGGGGGCUAGCGUUGCUCGGAAUUACUGGGCGUAAAGGGCGCGUAGGCGGAUCGUUAAGUCAGAGGUGAAAUCCCAGGGCUCAACCCUGGAACUGCCUUUGAUACUGGCGAUCUUGAGUAUGAGAGAGGUAUGUGGAACUCCGAGUGUAGAGGUGAAAUUCGUAGAUAUUCGGAAGAACACCAGUGGCGAAGGCGACAUACUGGCUCAUUACUGACGCUGAGGCGCGAAAGC
This 609-nucleotide ribosomal RNA is filed under the name Brevundimonas diminuta. RNAcentral describes it as "bacterial SSU rRNA". It matches the Rfam family "Bacterial small subunit ribosomal RNA", at positions 116 to 760 of the family's 1533-position model. The record is from RNAcentral. Lineage: Bacteria; Pseudomonadati; Pseudomonadota; Alphaproteobacteria; Caulobacterales; Caulobacteraceae.